This 253-nucleotide ribosomal RNA is filed under the name uncultured bacterium. RNAcentral describes it as "partial 16S ribosomal RNA". It matches the Rfam family "Bacterial small subunit ribosomal RNA", at positions 524 to 776 of the family's 1533-position model. The record is from RNAcentral.
UACGUAGGUGGCGAGCGUUGUCCGGAAUUAUUGGGCGUAAAGGGCGCGCAGGUGGUGCGGUAAGACUGCCGUGAAAUCUCCCGGCUCAACUGGGAGGGUGCGGUGGAGACUGCCGGACUGGAGGCACUCAGAGGCCGGUGGAAUUCCCGGUGUAGUGGUGAAAUGCGUAGAGAUCGGGAGGAACACCAGUGGCGAAGGCGGCCGGCUGGGGGUGACCUGACGCUGAGGCGCGAAAGCGUGGGGAGCGAACCGG